Molecule: ribosomal RNA, 497 nt
Filed under: uncultured bacterium
Lineage: Bacteria
Description: partial 16S ribosomal RNA
Rfam family: Bacterial small subunit ribosomal RNA
Source: RNAcentral
GAUGAACGCUGGCGGCGUGCCUAAUACAUGCAAGUCGAGCGAACGGACGCGAAGCUUGCUCCUCUGAUGUUAGCGGCGGACGGGUGAGUAACACGUGGAUAACCUACCUAUAAGACUGGGAUAACUUCGGGAAACCGGAGCUAAUACCGGAUGAUAUUUUGAACCGCAUGGUUCAAAAGUGAAAGACGGUCUUGCUGUCACUUAUAGAUGGAUCCGCGCUGCAUUAGCUAGUUGGUCAGGUAACGGCUUACCAAGGCAACGAUGCAUAGCCGACCUGAGAGGGUGAUCGGCCACACUGGAACUGAGACACGGUCCAGACUCCUACGGGAGGCAGCAGUAGGGAAUCUUCCGCAAUGGGCGAAAGCCUGACGGAGCAACGCCGCGUGAGUGAUGAAGGUCUUCGGAUCGUAAAACUCUGUUAUUAGGGAAGAACAUAUGUGUAAGUAACUGUGCACAUCUUGACGGUACCUAAUCAGAAAGCCACGGCUAACUACGUG